This 74-nucleotide transfer RNA is filed under the name Pacificimonas pallii. RNAcentral's name for it is "tRNA-Gly". It matches the Rfam family "tRNA". Rfam says of the family: Transfer RNA (tRNA) molecules are approximately 80 nucleotides in length. Their secondary structure includes four short double-helical elements and three loops (D, anti-codon, and T loops). Further hydrogen bonds mediate the characteristic L-shaped molecular structure. tRNAs have two regions of fundamental functional importance: the anti-codon, which is responsible for specific mRNA codon recognition, and the 3' end, to which the tRNAs corresponding amino acid is attached (by aminoacyl-tRNA synthetases). tRNAs cope with the degeneracy of the genetic code in two manners: having more than one tRNA (with a specific anti-codon) for a particular amino acid; and 'wobble' base-pairing, i.e. permitting non-standard base-pairing at the 3rd anti-codon position. RNAcentral also lists the same sequence under 1 other name. The record is from RNAcentral. Lineage: Bacteria; Pseudomonadati; Pseudomonadota; Alphaproteobacteria; Sphingomonadales; Sphingosinicellaceae.
GCGGGCGUAGUUCAAUGGUAGAACACCAGCCUUCCAAGCUUGUGAUGCCGGUUCGAUCCCGGUCGCCCGCUCCA